GCCGUCUGUUGCCACCACGAAAGGUGGGGACGUCAGGCGGGACCGGCCGGUGACAAACCGGAGGAAGGUGGGGACGACGUCAAGUCAUCAUGGCCCUUAUGUCCUGGGCCACACACGUGCUACAAUGGCCGGUACAGAGCGCAGCGAGGCCGCGAGGCGGAGCGAAUCGCUUAAAGCCGGUCCCAGUACGGAUUGGAGUCUGCAACCCGACUCCAUGAAGUUGGAAUCGCUAGUAAUCGCGCAUCAGCAUGGCGCGGUGAAUACGUUCCCGGGCCUU
RNAcentral lists this ribosomal RNA (277 nucleotides) under uncultured Spirochaeta sp. RNAcentral's name for it is "partial 16S ribosomal RNA". It matches the Rfam family "Bacterial small subunit ribosomal RNA", at positions 1107 to 1382 of the family's 1533-position model. The record is from RNAcentral. Lineage: Bacteria; Pseudomonadati; Spirochaetota; Spirochaetia; Spirochaetales; Spirochaetaceae.